This 270-nucleotide long non-coding RNA is filed under the name Neogobius melanostomus (round goby). RNAcentral describes it as "lncRNA (ENSNMLG00000022279.1)". The record is from RNAcentral. Lineage: Eukaryota; Metazoa; Chordata; Actinopteri; Gobiiformes; Gobiidae.
GGUAAUAAUGUGUAGCUUGCCACUCAGUCACACACACACGGUAUACUUUUUAACCCUUUUUUCCUCUUGUAAUUGACAGAUAACGUACAUUAAAGCUGCUUUGCCCAUACUUUACCGCUGGUGGCCUGUGGAUGGAGCAGCACGAACACGGCAGCACAGAGGAAUGCUGAAGGGUGGCACUAUAGAGUUACCAGAGAGGCAUCAGUCUUCGCUUUGAGACUCCAGAGGGGCAGAUUAACGCUGUGUUUAGACGCAAGCCAUGUGUGCAGC